GGUGCAGUAGCUCAGUGAUAGUGCUUCCGCUUCAUGUGCCGGAAGACCUGGGUUUGAUUCCCGGCUGCUUCC
Molecule: transfer RNA, 72 nt
Filed under: Toxocara canis (dog roundworm)
Lineage: Eukaryota; Metazoa; Nematoda; Chromadorea; Rhabditida; Toxocaridae
Rfam family: tRNA
About the family: Transfer RNA (tRNA) molecules are approximately 80 nucleotides in length. Their secondary structure includes four short double-helical elements and three loops (D, anti-codon, and T loops).
Source: Rfam by way of RNAcentral